This 1215-nucleotide ribosomal RNA is filed under the name Rhinopithecus roxellana (golden snub-nosed monkey). RNAcentral's name for it is "16S ribosomal RNA". It matches the Rfam family "Bacterial large subunit ribosomal RNA", at positions 455 to 2497 of the family's 2925-position model. The record is from RNAcentral. Lineage: Eukaryota; Metazoa; Chordata; Mammalia; Primates; Cercopithecidae.
AAAGUAUAGGUGAUAGAAAUUUAUUCUGGCGCCAUAGAGAUAGUACCGCAAGGGAAAGAUGAAAAAAAAAAAUUAAGUACAAAAUAGCAAGGACUAACCCCUAUACCUUCUGCAUAAUGAGUUAGCUAGAGAUCACUUCGCAAAGAGAACUAAAGUCAAGUACCCCGAAACCACGCGAGCUACCCAAAAACAGCUGAAAGAGCGCACCCGUCUAUGUAGCAAAAUAGUGGGAAGAUUUCUGGGUAGGGGUGAUACACCUAUCGAGUCUGGAGAUAGCUGGUUAUCCAAGAUAGAAUCUUAGUUCAACCUUAAGCUUACCCACAGAACCACUAAUCCCCCUGUAAACUUAAUUGUUAGUCUAAAGAGGGACAGCUCUUUAGACACUAGGAAAAAACCUUAUAUAGAGAGUAAAAAAUUCUAAAUCCAUAGUUGGCCCAAAAGCAGCCAUCAAUUAAGAAAGCGUUCAAGCUCAACACUAACUACCUAAAAAAUACCAGACACCUUACUGAACUCCUUACAUCACAUUGGAUUAAUCUAUCGUUUUAUAGAAGCAAUAAUGCUAGUAUUAGUAACAUGAAUAAAUUCUCCUAUGCAUAAGCCUAAAUCAGACCGAAAACUUCACUGAUAUUUAACAGCUUAAUUCUAAUAAUUACAACCAAGCUAGUAUUAUAUAAACUGUUAACCCAACACAGGCGUGCUUCUGAAGGAAAGGUUAAAAUAAGUAAAAGGAACUCGGCAAACUUAACCCCGCCUGUUUACCAAAAACAUCACCUCUAGCAUUACUAGUAUUAGAGGCACUGCCUGCCCAGUGACAUCUGUUUAACGGCCGCGGUACCCUGACCGUGCAAAGGUAGCAUAAUCACUUGUUCUUUAAAUAGGGACUUGUAUGAAUGGCAACACGAGGGUUUAACUGUCUCUUACUUUCAACCAGUGAAAUUGACCUGCCCGUGAAGAGGCGGGCAUAUAACAAUAAGACGAGAAGACCCUGUGGAGCUUCAAUCUACUAAUGCAACCAAGAUUAAUAAAAACCCACGGGCCUAAUAUAAUCCACCCCUGCAUUAGAAAUUUUGGUUGGGGUGACCUCGGAGCAUAAUUAAACCUCCGAGUUAAAUCACGCCAAGACUACACAAGUCAAAGCAACUUAAUAUUUAUAAUUGAUCCAAUAACUUGACCAACGGAACAAGUUACCCCAGGGAUCGACAAUAGGGUUUACGA